AAAAAAAUGAUUGAUGCUUAUUAUCAUUGCAACUCUGAGGGUGAGAAGCGUACACUAGAAUAUCCCAAGGGAAUUGUGAAAGCCUCAGCAAACUGGCAGAGAACAAAAAACUAAUUCCAUAGUCUCUUUGGAUGAGGUUGCAUCAUUGAUCUUUUCUACCACAAAACUUCUGGCAAGGGAUUUACUUUGUAUAUGUACAAAACGUUUUUGGUGUUGGUAUUACCUGUCUCAUUUCCUGCUGUGAUGUUACGUCUUCUUGGCUCAUGGAGACUUCUGAAGUUCUGUGAGUAAUUAGGAGGUUAAACCAAAGAGCGGGAUUACAUUUAGAUGUUUGCUGUUCUCUCCAGAAAACAUACCCAUUCUACCCUCCUCCUGAGCCAGCAGAUUUUCCAUGUGACCAGCAGUGGUUGUGAGGCUGAUGAAUCCCACAAGGUUGUACUGAUGGUAUCACAGGGACAUCCUGAUAGGCCCUGAGGGAAAAGCAAGGUUUAAAAAUCAAAGUCCUGACUAUCUUCUGGGAUCAUGAGAAUCCUCACUUCUAUAUGUACUUCUGCACAGUGGCCAGAAUGAUCUUUUGGCCCUUAUUUUCUCAAAUUUGAAUACUUUCUGUAGUGUUUGCCUGCAGAAACUCACCUAAGUUUGGUGUGUUUUCAUUCAUACAGAUGGUGCAUGCUUCAGGGAAAACAGAACUGCUUUGCAUCUUGGCUUACGGAUAAAGAAGAGCUCAGAUAACUUCUCCAGCAGGAGGAAUGCACGUGACCCUGACACAUGAUCUGAUCUCAUCAAGCUGCUACACAGCAACCAGUGUCAACACGUUGCCCAGGACAACAGAAGAACAACAGGUUGCACCACAUCAGCAACAAGCUCUGAGCCAUCUCCCAAAGAAAAUGUCACAGCCCCCAGGAGACUAUCUGGCUGGGAAAAAACAAAAAUAAUCAGGAGAUAAAUAUCAGGAAAGCCCAAAACCCCUACACCACCUGGGGAAAAUGAAAUCUUGGCAGGCAAUGGCCCCCAAACCCACAGGCUGUAUCCUAGCCCUGCUGCAGGAUGCCUGACAAGGACGCCUUGCACAAGGCAACCUCACUCAUGACAACAAAGCUGCUGCAGCCGUCACUGCUUACGCAGGGGCCAUCAGAGCCGUAACAGGAACUCCAGUGCCUCCAGGCAGCCUCCUCCCUUCAAGUGGGGCAAGUGCUUGUCUAAAAGGAGCAGCGAAUAUUUUGCUUUCCACAAUUUGUCUACAAAAUCCUCACAAAGAAGGGUUCAUCAGUGAUUUCUGACAGGCUGGCAAGAGGUGGAGACGGUUUAUGGAGGAGGAGAUCAACUCAAAGCCACCCAACUCCCACCAGGGAGUUCAGCAGGAGCAAGUAAAUCAUUGCCCCGGGCAGUAAUUCUAUAGCCUGCAUGGGAAGUGGCUGACUGUGCCAGAGUCCUGAGGUACCUGGACUGAGGUAUGUUCACAAAGUGCUUUAGUGAUGGAAUUAGAACAACUCUGGACAAUGCACAGCUUUUGGUCCCAGUUUGUUAAAAGGAAAGAGCUUGAUUGAUGUCUGAACCAAGACUGCCAGAUAAGGUAUGUUACAACAGCAGAGAGAGAAAAAGAGACUUGUAGCUUGUCUAAGCAUCAUCACUGUGUAAACGAGGUGCUCCUUACUGAACAAGUUAGCUUAAAACACAUAGAUAUUUGUGUUCUAAGGGCAACACCUCUUUUUGUGGCAGAAAUAGAUUACAUUUCUAUGGGAGUCAGUGCUGCUUCACAGUUUCAAACCACUGGGAUGGCUGCUUAAUUCAGAUAGCUCCUCAUACAGAGAGGGAACCAAAUUGGAUGUUUCUGUACCAUUUCCAUGUAAGACAUAAGACUUGCCAUACCAGUCAUUGCAAUCCUAAUACCCCAACCGCUUUACUAAAAAUAUACAGAAUAACUUAGUACUCUCCCAGCCGUGUUAAACACCGGAGCCAAGAAGAUGGCGCGACAGAAGCAGCCCCACUGGGGCACUACAGGAGAGUGGCCUUGCUGGUAAGGCUGCAAGAAGAAAAUGGCGAUACAAAAGGUACUGGGUAAGACUACCACUGACGUUCAUUUAACCGAUGGGGUAUUUUGUGCUCCCUACCCCUAUAGUUCUUUCCUGGCAGACCAAUAGCGUCCCUGCAGUGUAGAUGGCCCUGCAAUAUGUGAGCAGUGUACUCUAAGCUGCUUUAGCCAAAAGGCAUUACGUAAGUUAACCUGUGCAAGCUGUUUUCUAUAAAAGGAGCAAGUGGUAUUUUUAGCAGGCUUUAUGUAGUUGCUUGGCAAGGGGAAGAAACAGGAGAUGCCUCAGCACCUGGAAAGGAGCCUGCCAGACCAAGCCCCUGACCCCAUCACAGUGACUACGAUCGCUGGGUUUGGGAUGUGAGGGGGCACAUCCCUGUUACUGGACCUGUUCACAACAGUCUUUCCUAACGCCAGUUUUUAUUCAGCUUCCUGUGCCACUGAGUCUAGGGCUUUUUCUGCAUCCCUAACUGGCCUUCAGCAGGGUCAGAGGGGCUCCCUGUGCUGUUAGAGACAUCCUGGGGAGAUCCUACCUCCAUCAGCACCUUGCUGACCAUGCUUUGCACACACCUCCUAGUAAGGAAGAACAGCUCCCCGAUAUGCACAAAAAAAAAAAAAAAAAAACACACGGGGGAAAAAAAACAAUCUAGUGGCUGGGAUUUGUAGCUGUCUUCCUUUUUGUUACUACCUCAUGUGCACUUACCUAUUUUUCCCUAUUUUCAUAACAGGAACAUGCUGAUUCCUGCAGAGAAUGGUCAUCUGGCAGGUUUGGGCUGCAUUUAUGGGAUGCUGAUAAAGAGGAACAGCUGCUCUCCCUUCUUGCACUGCUUCUCACAGUAAACAAAAAUGUUAGAUACUAGUUCUGGUUAAGAGUCCUAGUUUGCAGCUCUGAUUGUUGAUGUGGUUGUUACUAGCUUGUGGAUGCUAAAAUUUGGCAUAUAAGGUCUCUCAGCACCAUGAUGAAAUCCUAUUUCCUUAAUCAACAUGGACUUUGGUUUCUUCACAAGAGGUGUGGAAGCCACUAAGCUCUACUUUUUUAUUCAGUAUCUUUGCUACGUUAGGAAAAAAAAAAAUGAAACAAAGCCACAUGUUAGGCAUUACAAAACAGUUUCUGCAAGUGCAUUUUUUAAUGCCCGGCACUGGGGGCUAUUAGGGACUGUCCCCCCUCUCCUGCUGCUGGGCAGCCGCUCUCACUGCUGCUUCAGUCCCUGGUAUGCUUCACUGCAGGGAGCUUCAUUUUUAAAGCGAAGCCUUUGCAGUGUGUUAUAUGAAAUCCUCACACUUGAAAUAAAUGUGCUGGGGAAGGACAGUUUCCCAAAUGCUAUUUUAUAUGUGCACACUCAAGUUCACUGUAUACCCACAGCAGAGAAAAUGAUCUGUCACAAGGCAAUGCUUGCUGGGUUUAAAACCAAAAACCUGUGUCACUGUGCCUAGCUGAUUUGCUACUGCUAUGUCAUCGUGUAUGGAAGGUUUGGUUUACCUGGCAGAGUGCCGAGCAGUCAAGGUGUAAGAAUAAACUCUGUACGUGACAGAAAGCAGUGCCUGCGCACUGUCAGUUCUUGAGGAGGAUCCAGAUCUUGUGUCUCAACUGCACGCAGGGCGUUUCCACUUGCACACAUACACACACGUGCACACACGGAUGUUUCACAUGAAAGAAUUCUAACAAUACUGCAUAGGAAAUCAACAUAAUGAAUACAAUCAGCAUCGUCCACUGACACUGUUAACCAGUCAGUAUUUCACUUACCAACAGUACACUUAAGACUUCCUAGAUCAUGAGAGAUUUAAGUCAUAUCCCAUCUCCUUCAUAGUGAAGUUAGAUUAUUCAUAAAAAACAUAAUAAUCCUAAGUAAAACAGAAGCUUUAGAGUAGAAGGUGUUAAUAAAACUGAUCCAGCCCUAUGCCAUGUCCUGGAGAUUGUGUACUUUUUUUUUUCUUUUUUGUAAAAAUCACAUUAUAUAUGGUACAAUACAUUUUUACAGAAAGCCUGGCAUCUAGAAAUAAGAGGUAGAACUACUCAAAACUAUAUGUUUCCUGCUGCAGGAAAAAUUCAUUUUUCUUUACAGUAAUUAAAAAAAGGUUAAAAAAAUUGACAAAAAAAAAGUCAUAGGUUAGGCCCCCAUAAUUUAAACAAAAUAAUCUAGGAAAAUAACACUCUUCAAUGUACCUGACGGAUUAAGUCCAUUAAAGUGUUUUUAAAAAAAAAAAUUGCAUAGGAAAGGGACAUUUCAAAACACAUGCUACAACGAUGGCAAUAGUUUGUCUGUGCUGGGAGUGAAGUACCUUUUAGUUUUCCUUCCUGUGUUACUACAAGUACAGGCUUUAAGAGCAAGUUAGUAUUAGCAGCACUUUCCAGCAUCUUAGAGCAGUGUAAUAAAGACAUUGAAUUAGCCUGGAGGUCAGUUUUGUUCUGCCAGACAACAAACAAACAAACAAACACUGAUUCACAACUAAAGUAAUGCCAGUUCCCCUGACAUUUCACAAAAGUAUUAUAUUAUAUCCUUAAUACUUCUGCCCUCUGCUUGCAAAUGAGAUGCGUGUAUGUCUAAGCAACAGAGAAGGCAAAAAUGAAUCUUGGUCAAAGUGGAAAAAUUGGGUGAGGAUAAAUAAGAGGAAAUCUAAAGGGGGAUAAGGAUGGAGCGGGGAGCGCAGAAUGUCUCAUUUACCUAUGCAGGUGGGGAGCAGAGAGCAUUGUAAUAUUUGGCUAGUGACAAAAUAAAUUCCAUAUAAGACUUAACAGACAGACAAAUUACAAAGUAGUUUCUGUUCCCUUGCUCCUCCAGAAAUAACCAUUGUCUUCAGGCUCAAGUUCUAUUCUAAUUUGAGGCACAACUUUUACUGGAGUUCGUGGAGGGCUGCGAAGAAAAAGAAGGAAGGUAGUGCAACUUGGAAGUCUCCCCAAGAAACAAAGGAAACAAGGACAGACAGUGCCAGUUAGCCAUCAAAUUUAAGAAGAGGUGGGAUAAAACGUAUUCCAGUAAAUUCCAAACUACUUUUCACCUCAUAGUUUCUAAUGAGACUGAAAGCAGAAAGUAGAAAAGCAGAGCAAGAAAAGGCAUCAUGGAUCCUAUUACACAUCCAACUUAAUACACAAUGGAAGUUUUUCCAGAAGGGCUGAUCCCUUGAGUCCCAGAUGAGCAAUUAUAGUCAUGCAAAGUAAAUCUCUAACUGCUCAAUCUUUUAACUCACACUAAUCUGCUACAAUUAAUAAAUAAUGGACAAUGAAUUACAUUCUUCACUUCUAGAAAUUGGUUCUUCAAACAACGAUUUCUACUCCUUCAAGUGUUACGCACUGGUCACAUGCAGGUGGAAACAGUGUCCUUUGGAAAUAAAAAAAGCAGUGGAUGUGCAGGGGUGCAGCCCCAUCUCCAGGUGCUUGCAAGGUUUAAUGCAAGAGCAGCCAUCACCAACUCCACCUUUCUGCCCAACUUCAGCAAAUGUGGCUUUAAACUUCCCCUCCCGUGCCACAGGACCAGCCCAGCUACAUCAGCCAGUGUCUGCACUAAUCCAGGCGGCUGCAGAGGAGAAACCCUUUGACUACUGCAGAUUUCUGCAUACGGUAACAACAUACAUGCUUCCCCCGAAAAAAAUAGCUGGUCCUCCAACCCAAAGCACAGAGCCUUCUGCAAAGGCAAAAACAAUUGCACAGUAGCUACAAAAUGGAGAAUGCUCUUUUUGACGAACAACAAAAUUGUGUGCAAUGAGUGUGGCAUGUGAAUGGAAAUACUUGGGCAUAAAUCAAACACAAGAUCUGAAUAAAGGCCAUUGUGCCACACUUGUUUCAACCCAAAAAGAGCAGAAAGGGCUCUGCAGCUGUCUGCCCAGAGUGAGGGAAGCCUUCAUGUAGUGACAGGCAGCUGCCACAGAAUGACAAGUGCAGCACAACCAAAGUCUCCCUGCUCAGAGUGUCACCUGGACUAACAUGAUAGGAAUGUUUGUUUUUCAACCUGUUUAUGUAACUCAUUAAAGUGGCAAAUAAUCUCUGUUUAUUGAGUUCUCCACUACAUUAUUAAUCGUUUACUAGGUAAUAAACACAGCACUAUGUAAAUUUCUGUGGAGGCCUUGAUCCUGAAUGCUUGCAUUUCACUUCACUAAAGUCACCAGGGCCACGUGUACAACGUCCUCAAAGAUCAAAGCAUCACUGCCUACGUUCCUUCCUUGUCUCACUCCCUCUCAUCUCCUUCAAGCUCCUUGACCACUGUUUGUCCCUCCUAUUGGGGAAGGACGAGGAGUCAGUGUGUGGUCCCCAGAGUUAUGAGUACCCAAGGGAUUCAACAUCCUCACUGGAUCUGAGGGAUUAGAUAAGUCAGUAUCUCCUCCAGCAAGUUGAGCAGGAGGCUUUAUGAGUUUGACUUUCUAGUUCACUUACCUUGCUUUCUUUUCUCCCAUUCUUUCUCCUUCUCUUUUUCAAAAAAAAAAAAAGAAAAAUGUCUAAAUAUUAUUUCACCGUUCCAUUAUAAUUAAUCCUGUAAAUCAUUCCUGAGUGAAACUUCAGCACAUUAUCCUGCAGAGUAGCAAGCAGUGCUUUCAUUUUGGAAGAUUAUGUUUUGGCAAAGUAUUCACUGGCUAUGGGGUUGCUGGCAUGGGCACUCGGAACAAACCUGCUGCUAGCCAACAGAAUUAAGAAUGUAUUUAUAGGAAAGUGCCUGUCAUUCUCCUAGCAGGGUAGAGGAUGUUUUGGAUGAGAUCUGCCAUAACUGAACUGGAGAGAUGAGUGACAUUCAAAAACAGCACAAACACAACACCCACAAAAAACAAGGAUGGGAUUAUUCUGCGGAUUCCCUGUCUUAUUGAAUUUGGUAGCAUUAGUGUUCAAUUUGCCGCUGGCAUGAGAAGACUCAAAUGUUCUGCAAUACAUUCUGCUAAGAGUUCUUUGCAGCAGGAGACCCUACCGCUGGAGUUUGUUGAAGGUCCUGAAACACUGCCAGCUAAUUCCUAUUGGCACGUGGGCAAGGAGCAUGCCAAUUUGUCCUCAGACAUCCUUCUGCGAGGAUCUUGCCCAUACACAUUCUUUGGAGAAGCUGAGAAAAAACAAUGAGGGAAGCAAGAGCAGGGGAAAUAACGGAGCCUGCAGAAUAGAGGAAGAGAGAUCUUGCAAGGAAAGGUCACAUGAACUAACAGUGUGCCUGCACUCAGCACCACUUAAACCAUCCCAGGGACAGGCAGUAUCCUGCACAAGGAACAGAUAAGCACGUUUUCUAGUUUCAUCCUUCUCUGAUUCGAUGCACCGAGGAUGCAUUUCUUUGUGGUUCUGUGCCAGUAAAUCUCAGCUCUUGGAAAAUAGCUGCCUAUCUAGAUUAAAUGGUACGUGAGCAGCACAAGUGUCCAAAGGCUUCGGUAACAUCACAGGAAGAAAAGAUCAGGAAAUUAAGAAAUCACAUUUUAUUGCACUGCUUCCCACAGAAACAUGUUUUCUGUACUGCCGAGUUGGACAUUGCUUUUGAGCAAGAAGAGGAGUGCUCUUUUAGGAGGAUUUAGUGUAAAAGAAUGGAAAUUCGAUUGUUGUGCUGGCUCUUUUUAAAAGCAAGGCAAGCUGCAGGAGCCUCACACUGCUGAGGUGCAUGCCUUGGCAGCCCUAACAGGCAGGGCAAAGUUCCUGCUCUACGAAGGCAGUGGCAACAGUCCCAAAGAUUUUUGGCCAGAACUUUACCUAUGGAGUAAUACUAUCUGCUGUAGGCUGUGCUCAUUGCCAUCAGUUCUGCAUAUUCUCUCUCAUCAAAGUUACUUCCUUUCAGUGGGCACACACAUGCCCCACGAGUAAAUACCAGAUGAAGAUUUUCAUCAUCCACGUGUAGAAGAUCCUGAAAAUCUGGUUCUGACAAUUCAUACCACAGAACUUAUUUCCUCCUCUAGAAACAGCUAGACUUCAGGGUGAAUGAGAAAGUGAGAGGUAUCUGCAGGCUGCAUCACUCCCUCCAAAAGUAGAAACUUCACCCCAAUCCUUCCCUCUGACACAUGUUGUAGAAGCAUUCUUAAUUCUGCACUUGACAGCUUCUUCUGGAGCUAUAAAGCAAAACUAUUUUAGGCUCCUGGAGGCCUUCUGGGAGUAAAUGUGACCUGAAAGAAGGUGCUGCAAAGUUGCAUUCUUGCACCUCACAACAACUCAGCACACAGCUCUAUGCAAAGGAACAAAGCCAGUACAUAAACGCCUGGGUUUGUGUGUGUGUGUGUGUGUGUGUGUGUGUGUGUGUGUUUGUAUGUUUUACCAUGUGCGCACAUGUCUAUAUGCAAAUGUACUUUUCUGGAUUACAUAUUCAUCUGUUAAUCUGUCUUUCACACAGCAACUGUGCUUCACUCCAUGAUGUUAUCAGUAUGGUCUCAAAGUUUAUCUACAAUAUGCUUUCCUUACAACACAGGCACAGCAGGAGAAUAUCAUAAAAGAAAACUUUACCAGAAGAAAAAUCCUAAAUUAAAAUCACAGCCCUCAAAACCAACAGCCCUGAACCUUGGUACUAUCUCUAUGUCUAUAGCACGCCAAAAAUACAUUAUUUUUUUCCUUCCAAAAAUUUAAGCUUUUGUUAAAUUGAAGAAUUGCAUCAGUGAUUCUCAGUACUUUUCCAUACUUCAGCAAUGAGCCUUUUUAGAAGCACAGAAAUGGUGUGACGGCUGUGGUCUUGGCCACUUGCUUGCACUUCUGUGAGCAGA
Non-coding RNA from Phasianus colchicus (ring-necked pheasant), 8671 nucleotides. The record is from RefSeq and is a predicted model, not a curated record. Lineage: Eukaryota; Metazoa; Chordata; Aves; Galliformes; Phasianidae.